GUUUGCGAGAAGCUUGAUGUCCAGGCCAUUGUGAUUCAGAUUUCAUAACUAUAUCACAUACUCUACAUACAGGCUGAUCGUGCUCAUUGUACCUCACAAGCGGGGAAUCAAUUCGCUUCUGCUUCUGCUCCUUCAGCUUUGCCCGGUACAAUGCUCUCUUGUCCAUUCCAAAGUUGUUAGUAGCAGAAUUGAUUAUUAGGGUUGAUAGAUUAUCGCGCUUUAAUCCUUCUCCGAUUUCAAUUCUUUGCUUCUUAAA
This 256-nucleotide unclassified non-coding RNA is filed under the name Hevea brasiliensis (rubber tree). Lineage: Eukaryota; Viridiplantae; Streptophyta; Magnoliopsida; Malpighiales; Euphorbiaceae. The record is from RNAcentral.